RNAcentral lists this ribosomal RNA (776 nucleotides) under uncultured Neocallimastigales. RNAcentral's name for it is "partial large subunit ribosomal RNA". It matches the Rfam family "Eukaryotic large subunit ribosomal RNA", at positions 23 to 634 of the family's 3401-position model. Lineage: Eukaryota; Fungi; Neocallimastigomycota; Neocallimastigomycetes; Neocallimastigales. The record is from RNAcentral.
AGAGAGAGACAUGCGCGCAUAUCAAUAAGCGGAGGAAAAGAAACUAACUAGGAUUCCCUUAGUAACGGCGAGUGAAGCGGGAAGAGCUCAAAUUUGAAAUCUUCAAGGUUCUACCUUGACGAAUUGUAGUUUAUAGAAGUGUUUUCUGUUAGUGGAGUGGCAAAAGUUCUUUGGAAUAGGACAUCAUAGAGGGUGAGAAUCCCGUAUUUGGUCAUUCCUCCUAGCGUUGUGAUACACUUUCAACGAGUCGGAUUGUUUGGGAAUGCAGUCCAAAAUGGGUGGUAAAUUUCAUCUAAAGCUAAAUAUUGGCGAGAGACCGAUAGCGAACAAGUACCGUGAGGGAAAGAUGAAAAGAACUUUGAAAAGAGAGUUAAACAGUACGUGAAAUUGUCAAAAGGGAAGCGUUUGACACCAGUGUUGUUUUCUCGAAAAAUCAAUUACGAAGUGUUUAGGAUUUUGAGGAGUUAUGACUUCAUCAGCUUAGGCUCCUUUCUUUACUACUUUCUUAAUGCACUUUUCGGUUAACAAGUCAACAUCAAUUUCUUUUGUUGUAAAAGGGUAUGAGGAAGGUGGCUUUCUUUUCGGAGAAAGUGUUUAUAGCCUUGUGCCUCUGCAAUCGGAGAGAUUGAGGUCUGCAGCGUAGAUCCUUCGGGGUUAGAUACGUUUGUGCUAGUUAUAGCUUUUCAUAGACAACUUGUUAACUAUGUUUAGUCUUGUAGCUUACUCGCUGACGCUAUGUUACCUACGCUUAGGAUGUUGAUAGUCACAGCGUGUAC